Non-coding RNA from Hypoxylon trugodes, 104 nucleotides. The record is from the annotation of a RefSeq genome assembly. Lineage: Eukaryota; Fungi; Ascomycota; Sordariomycetes; Xylariales; Hypoxylaceae.
GGUCCCAUAGCUCAGUUGGUUAGAGCGUCGUACUAAUGUUAAUCCGAUUCAGGGUUUAUAUCAAGUAAAUGCGAAGGCCGGCGGUUCGAGCCCGCCUGGGACCA